Long non-coding RNA from Serinus canaria (Common canary), 385 nucleotides. RefSeq lists it as uncharacterized. NCBI's taxonomy places the organism in Eukaryota, Metazoa, Chordata, Aves, Passeriformes, Fringillidae. The transcript is spliced from 3 exons. The record is from RefSeq and is a predicted model, not a curated record.
UGGGAUCAGGCAGCAUCUCAGAGCAAAGAGCAGCAGAAGGGGAUGGAAUAACAGCCCCCUCUCUCUCUCUCUCUCUCCUCCUGUGGGGUGGAGGUGCCAGGCACAGCCAGGGGAUGGAAGAACAGCCCCCUCCUCAUCCUGCCACCCCGAGCACCAGACUUGCCCUUGCUUUCAUACUGCACACCUCUCCUGUCCCUUUGAAAGGAAUCCUGAGGGCAUUCUAAAGCAGGAAGAGUUUGUGGAGUGAGUUGGUUUGGUGUGAUGGACACUGUGCCCUGGACCUCAUUCUCAGCUUUGGUGUGAUGGACACUGUGCCCUGGACCUCACCUUUGGUGUGAUGGACACCCUGCCUGGACCUCACCUUUGGUGUGAUGGACACCCUGCC